UACCCAGUUCGGACUGCAGGCUGCAACCCGCCUGCACGAAGCCGGAAUUGCUAGUAAUCGUAGGUCAGCAUACUACGGUGAAUACGUUCCCGGGCCUUGUACACACCGCCCGUCAAACCAUGAGAGUUGGCAACACCCGAAGUCGGUAGUCUAACCGCAAGGAGGACGCCGCCGAAGGUGGGGUUGAUGAUUAGGGUUAAGUCGUAACAAGGUACC
RNAcentral lists this ribosomal RNA (216 nucleotides) under uncultured bacterium. RNAcentral's name for it is "partial 16S ribosomal RNA". It matches the Rfam family "Bacterial small subunit ribosomal RNA", at positions 1285 to 1500 of the family's 1533-position model. The record is from RNAcentral.